UUGACCCAUGGAUUAACCCAAUAAACCUUCUGUUCAUUCUUUGGGUGUGGGUUCGGGUCGGCUAGUAUGAUUUUUGACUCUUCCCCGUAUCCUUCUGCAUACAACAAAUGGAUUUUUUUCUCAUGCAACAAAAAGAAUAGGAAAGAAGAAGAAGAAGAACGAAAAUCCCAUCUGAACAAACAAAUAUCACGACAGAGAGGGAGAGACGAAGAAAUGAAAGAAAAAACAGGUUUGAUGGAUACCGGCGGCAUUCAGUCGGAGAAUGCUGAGACAAGAUUAACAUUUUGUAAGCCUUUAAAUGAUGUGGCUAACAGGAAGUAUCGACGACGCCAUUCUCCUGUUAAUGGAUCUCCUUCUUUGGAUGGAAGUCCGAAGCAUGAUCGUAGCUCCAGUCCGGUAGUUCCGAGGGAGGAUGUUGCUAAAGCUUCACAGAGAAGGAAGGAUGAGGAAAAAGAACUGAACCGGGAUUCUGGGAGGAGUCGGUAUGAGAAGAAUAGAGAUUCUUGUAGCCAUUAUGAUGGUAAUUCUUCGAGGAGUUCUCAUGGGUAUUCUAGGAAUGAUGAUUAUAGUAGACGUGACAGGCGUGUGGAUGAUGGAGAAAGACAUUAUCAGGUGUCUUCCCCUUCUGAUAGGGAGUUGAAGGAUGGUGAGCAUGGUAGGUCAAGGGAUUAUGCGCGAAAUGUGGGGAAAUAUUAUUGUGACAGAUAUGAUAAUUCAGGGCAUAGAAGGAGGUAUAAAGAGAGAGAAUCAUCGGAGCAUCAGAAGUUGAAAGAUAAGGACUUUUCGCCUGAUAGAGUUGCAUCUGCUAGGAAAUAUACAAGCCCAGCUUCUGAAGAGAAGGAUAGGUAUCGGAACAGGCGGGACAGAGAUGUUCGUGAUGAGAGAAGAGAUCAUCACAGUUCUGGAGGUCAUAAAGGUGAUCGUUCUUCUUACUAUGAGGAAACCCGAUGGCAUCGAAAUGACUCUUCUGGAAGGGAUGGUGGACAUCGCCCUAGAGAACAUUAUAAGAAUGACCCUAAGGAAUUGAAUGGUCAGAACGAAAAGAAGAAACAUGAUAACAGGGAAAAUAGCAGGGAAAACAAUCGGUACAGUGAAGCAGCAGGGCAGACAAGUGAUGAUAAAUCUAUUUCUGGGAGUGAAAAUCAAGAAUCUCCUGCCAAAAAGCCAAAAUUGUUUAGCUCUAACAAGGACCCUGAUUACAAUGGAGAUGUUAAUGAAAGGCAGCCUUCAAGUUCAUUGCUGGCCCAGGAGGUUGAUAACAAGAUCAAUGAAGGACAAACACAUGCCAAUAGUUCAGAGGUUGCUAAGGACUUCGAUGCCGCAAAGGUUGCUGCUAUGAAAGCUGCUGAAUUAGCCUUCUUGAUGCAGGACAGAUGAAGAAAAUCAACAAAACAUGAUAAUUGAUGUGGGAUAGAAGAACAAAAUCACCAAUAAGAGACGCUCAAACUUGAACGGACCAAACCAAGAGAGACACAAUCUUGAAAAAACAAAACAAGAGAGACUCAAUCUUGAAAAAAACAAUGCUAGAGAGACAAACUCAAUUUUGAAGAAAACUUAGUUUAUUUUAUGCAAUAAUUCUACCUCCUUAUAACUAAUGUCUAGGUGUUUAUUUAUGUAUGCCAAGCCAAAUAAAAUAAGAAAACCUAGUAUAAAUUAGGAAAAUAUAACAAGUCUUAGUUUAGUAAGGAAGCUAAAAUCCUAAUUUAACUACUAAAUGAUAAAUACUAAUAUUCCUAAAUAAUAAAAUCCAGAAUAAUCAUACAAUAUUAAUACUCCUGAAUAAAGAAAAACCAAAUCCAACAGUUGCCCUCCAUUCUCCAUAACUUCCUUUUCCUUUUUCUCGAGAAUCAUGCCCUUUUACGAUUCUCUACUAGACUCUCACUGAUCAUGUUCACUAUAUUCAUUUAAACCAAGCGGGCCAGUAGAGCCUAAUGAAUGGAACAUUUGUUCAUUGGUGAGCUACAUUCAGAUUCAAACUUUCACAUGCUUUAUAUUUGAGAGGAAUAACAUGUUUUAUUGCCAUGGAAAGCAAGUGGAUGGGUCUAGCUCCAAUUGAUCGCCCAAGUUAACAGGAACCUAGUUGGCGGGGGCUUUAUGUCUACCGAGCAAAAGAAGAAGCUGCUUUGGGGGAAUAAAAAGA
RNA transcript from Populus euphratica (Euphrates poplar), 2140 nucleotides. It is a transcript of the gene named arginine/serine-rich coiled-coil protein 2-like, with no coding region annotated. The record is from RefSeq and is a predicted model, not a curated record. The transcript has 6 exons. Lineage: Eukaryota; Viridiplantae; Streptophyta; Magnoliopsida; Malpighiales; Salicaceae.